RNAcentral lists this ribosomal RNA (522 nucleotides) under uncultured fungus. RNAcentral's name for it is "SSU rRNA". It matches the Rfam family "Eukaryotic small subunit ribosomal RNA", at positions 569 to 1092 of the family's 1831-position model. Lineage: Eukaryota; Fungi. The record is from RNAcentral.
AGCAGCCGCGGUAAUUCCAGCUCCAAUAGCGUAUAUUAAAGUUGUUGCAGUUAAAAAGCUCGUAGUUGAAUUUCGGGGUCAAUAAGUUGGUCGUGCCAAUGGUAUGUACUGGCUUUAUUGAUUCCUACCUCUUGACGAACUGUGAUGCCAUUAAUUUGGUGUUGCAGGAAAUCAGGACUGUUACCUUGAAAAAAUUAGAGUGUUUAAAGCAGGCUUACGCUUGAAUACAUUAGCAUGGAAUAAUGAAAUAGGACGUUUGAUCCUAUUUUGUUGGUUUCUAGGAUCGACGUAAUGAUUAAUAGGGACAGUUGGAGGCAUUAGUAUUCAAUUGUCAGAGGUGAAAUUCUUGGAUUUAUUGAAGACUAACUACUGCGAAAGCAUUUGCCAAGGAUGUUUUCAUUAAUCAAGAAUGAAAGUUAGGGGAUCGAAGACGAUCAGAUACCGUCGUAGUCUUAACCAUAAACUAUGCCGACUAGGGAUCGGAUGAUGUUAAUUUUUUAAUGACUCAUUCGGCGCCUUACG